CUUCAGGUAGAGGGGGUCCUUCAGGUAGAGGGGGUCCUUCAGGUAGAGGGGGUCCUUCAGGUGGAUGGGGUCCUUCAGGUAGAGGGGGUCCUUCAGGUGGAUGGGGUCCUCAGGUGGAUGGGGUCCAUCAGGCAGGAGACACGUUGAGACAGACCACUGCUCUCUGGUCUUCAUUUGACACCCUGUAAUCACGUCCCUCCACCACCACAUUAAGAACAUUGAAUCAUCUGAGUUCUGUCUCGCUCUCAUCCAAAACACUUGGCCACUCUGUGCUGCACUCCAGCAUUUGCAUAUCACAUCAAUAUCAUGCGACUUUUAUAACCAGGGACACACACAGACACACACACACACACACACACACACACACACACACACACACACACACACACACACACACACACACACACACACACACACACACACACACAUACACA
This is a long non-coding RNA of Gadus macrocephalus (Pacific cod), 434 nucleotides long. RefSeq lists it as uncharacterized. The transcript has 2 exons. NCBI's taxonomy places the organism in Eukaryota, Metazoa, Chordata, Actinopteri, Gadiformes, Gadidae. The record is from RefSeq and is a predicted model, not a curated record.